Molecule: long non-coding RNA, 871 nt
Organism: Suricata suricatta (meerkat)
Lineage: Eukaryota; Metazoa; Chordata; Mammalia; Carnivora; Herpestidae
Exons: 3
Source: RefSeq, a predicted model, not a curated record
UUCUGUGCCGCUGACUGGAGCGCAUGGAUAGUCCAUCUCGUGACCUCGUAGCCUUGCCCUGGUCACAUGCCACACGGCCGUCUCAGUCCAUGUCCUCAGGGAAGCAAAGCUCCUCCGUGGGGCCCAUCACUCCUUCAGCCUCAUGGCCUGUGGGACAACACAUGUUCUGCGGGACUUCUGAAACCUCGCCUUGUCCCAGCCCUCCCUCCCACUCACCAAAAGAAGCAGGAAAAGGGGGUCUGACUACAUUAUAGAGGAUAAAGUUAGGGGUCAGGGUGGAGAAGACAGCAGAGAGAGGCCCCAAUAAGUGUGUUAGGGACCAGGAAUUAAAAUUUAGAACAAAGGGCUCCUGGCUGACUUGGCUGGUGGAGCAUGUGACUCUUGAUCUUGGGGGUGUGAGUUCAAGCCCCACGUUGGGUCUGGAGGUUGCUUGAAAAAUCUUAAAAAUAAAUUAGGGUUAGGCGUUUACUAUGUGUCAGGCCCCAGGCUAAGAACUUUACUAUCCUUUGUCUCCUUUCAUCUUCAUGACAGCCCUGUGAGGAAGAUCGCUAUUGUGGAGAUACUGUUAUGGGGCUAAUAAUGAGUGUGUCAUUAUCUCCAUUUCACAUAUGAGGAAACUGAGGUCCAAAAAAGGAUACUCACGCCCUGGCCCCUUCACCUCAGGCUCAAACCACAGAUACCCAGCUCGGCGGCAGGGGCAUCCCAGGUGAGGCCUAGUUCUAGUUGCGGAGUGAGAUGAGACCACUGAGGGUCAGGGACAGGACUUGAUUGAAUAUGUGGCAACCUAGGAUCUGAGCCCCGGGUUUACUCGUCCUACGUGUGAAUGUUCAUGUAUGAAUGUUCCAGCCCCUACAACUACAAGGUACAGCUG